Orycteropus afer afer is the source of this 366-nucleotide non-coding RNA. The record is from the annotation of a RefSeq genome assembly. Lineage: Eukaryota; Metazoa; Chordata; Mammalia; Tubulidentata; Orycteropodidae.
GACAGGAUUCAGUGCUCUCAGGGCGUCUCCACCAUGGUUUGGGCUCCGCUCCUCCUCACCCUCCUCACUCACAGCUCAGGGUCCUGGGCCCAGUCUGCCCUCACUCAGCCUCCCUCAGUGUCUGGGACUCUGGGACAGACUGUCACCAUCUCCUGCUCUGGAAGCAGCAGCGACAUUGGGGGUUAUAACUAUGUCUCCUGGUACCAACAACACCCGGACACAGCCCCCAAACUCCUGAUUUAUAGUGUCAGUAGUCGGCCCUCAGGGAUCCCUGCCCGAUUCUCUGGCUCCAAGUCCGGCAGCACGGCCUCCCUGACCAUCUCCGGGCUCCAGGCUGAGGACGAGGCAGAUUAUUACUGUUGCUCA